This is a long non-coding RNA of Sinocyclocheilus grahami, 486 nucleotides long. RefSeq lists it as uncharacterized. The transcript is spliced from 2 exons. Lineage: Eukaryota; Metazoa; Chordata; Actinopteri; Cypriniformes; Cyprinidae. The record is from RefSeq and is a predicted model, not a curated record.
GGAAAUACGCUCUUGUUUCCUCACAGUGUGAUCCAGCUUUGCUCCCUGAGCCCAAUCACGUCAUGCUUAAUCACCUGUAUGCUCUGUCCAUUAAGGACGGCGUUAUGGUCCUGAGUGCCACACAUCGGUAUAAGAAGAAAUAUGUCACAACCCUGCUGUACAAGCCAAUCUGAGAAACAUGGCCAUUUCAACACUCAACUUGCACGACCUCCGUCUAGUUUGGCUGUUAUAUAUAGUAUGUAUUACUGUAAAUAGAAAUGUACAGAGAUGCACUUUAGAGGUACAUCCCACCUUAAUGGGUAUAAAAUAAUCAGAGACACAGAAAUAGCUCAGUUUUACUGGACAGUUAAGCACAUAUCUACUCUUUUAGGGGUUGGUACAAUUUUUAAACCCACUAUUCAGUGGGACCGGGCCAAAUCGACUGAAUCGAAACCAGUACAGAGGUGUGUUCUUGAAUAGUGUAAAUAAAGUGUGACAUGUUUAUUU